RNAcentral lists this ribosomal RNA (460 nucleotides) under uncultured bacterium. Its description in RNAcentral is "partial 16S ribosomal RNA". It matches the Rfam family "Bacterial small subunit ribosomal RNA", at positions 338 to 795 of the family's 1533-position model. The record is from RNAcentral.
CCUACGGGUGGCUGCAGUGAGGAAUAUUGGUCAAUGGGCGCUAGCCUGAACCAGCCAAGUAGCGUGAAGGAUGACUGCCCUAUGGGUUGUAAACUUCUUUUAUAUGGGAAUAAAGUGCAGUAUGUAAACUGCAUGCCAUGUAUCUUAUGAAGAAGGCUCGGCGAACUCCGUGCCAGCAGCAGCGGUAAUACGGAGGAUCCGAGCGUUAUCCGGAUUUUAUGGGUUUAAAGGGUGAGUAGGCGGGUUGUUAAGUCAGUUGUGAAAGUUGGCGGCUCAACCGUAAAAUUGCAGUUGAUACUGGCAUCCUUGAGUACGGUAGAGGUAGGCGGAAUUCUUGGUGUAGCGGUGAAAUGCGUAGAUAUCACGAAGAACUCCGAUUGCGAAGGCAGCCUGCUGGACUGUAACUGACGCUGAUGCUCGAAAGUGUGGGUAUCAAACAGGAUUAGAUACCCGGGUAGUC